RNAcentral lists this ribosomal RNA (367 nucleotides) under uncultured Smithella sp. RNAcentral's name for it is "bacterial SSU rRNA". It matches the Rfam family "Bacterial small subunit ribosomal RNA", at positions 1007 to 1382 of the family's 1533-position model. The record is from RNAcentral. Lineage: Bacteria; Pseudomonadati; Thermodesulfobacteriota; Syntrophia; Syntrophales; Smithellaceae.
UAGAAGUGCUUCGGGAGCCGGUGACAGGUGCUGCAUGGCUGUCGUUCAGGCUCGUGUCGUGAGAUGUUGGGUUAAGUCCGCACAGCGCAACCCCUAUCUUUAAUUGCCAUCAUUCAGUUGGGCACUUUAAGAGACUGCCGGUGUUAAACCGGAGGAAGGUGGGAUGACGUCAAGUCCUCAUGGCCUUUAUGCCCAGGGCUACACACGUGCUACAAUGGGUGGUACAAAGAGAUGCAAUCUCGCAAGAGCAAGCAAACCUCAAAAAGCCAUCCUCAGUUCGGAUUGGAGUCUGCAACUCGACUCCAUGAAGUCGGAAUCGCUAGUAAUCGCGGAUCAGCACGCCGCGGUGAAUACGUUCCCGGGCCUU